RNAcentral lists this transfer RNA (77 nucleotides) under marine sediment metagenome. Its description in RNAcentral is "tRNA-Thr". It matches the Rfam family "tRNA". Rfam says of the family: Transfer RNA (tRNA) molecules are approximately 80 nucleotides in length. The record is from RNAcentral.
GCCUCUUUAGCUUAAAUCUGGCAAAGCCCCACCUCGUAAGUGGGAAGAUGGCGGUUCGAAUCCGCCGGGAGGCUCCA